RNAcentral lists this long non-coding RNA (3246 nucleotides) under Gallus gallus (chicken). Lineage: Eukaryota; Metazoa; Chordata; Aves; Galliformes; Phasianidae. The record is from RNAcentral.
GUCCUUUGCUGCUAUUUUGUGCAGUAAGCGGUGUGGAUUUUCCUGUACUGGUUUUCUGUGUUUGUGUUGUUUGGCCGUUGCAGAAAGAUCAGGUAAUUCAACAAGGCAGUAGAAAACGCCAAUGGCAAAGAAUCUGCAAAGAUCUACUUAUAUAUAUUCCUCCCAAUACAUCAUGGUGUAAGAAGCCUAGUAGAGACAAGAUAGAUGAGGGGAUUGGGUGCUUUGGUAGUCCCAAAUAAUACCUAGAAGACUAGCUGUAACUGGUGAUGGUAAAAGCAGCCACAGCUUGCUGUGGAGGCAUUUUUAUGCAGGCAUCCAAUCAAAAGGGUAUGGGGCAUCUUUUUUUUUUUCCUACAGUUUAUUAUCAAUUUUCAUGAAAGGUUUCCCCAAGCCCAAUUAUGAGGUUGAAGAAAACAGCAUUCAGAUUCUUUAAAGUUCCUUGCCAGUUUUUGAAGAGAUUGGAAUUUUAACCUGAGUAAUGAUUACCAUUAAAAGGCUGUUUUUCUUCAGCCUGAAGUUCUGGUAGCUUGACUAAAAACAAGGACUGCUGUGCAGUUAUGACCUUGAGCUGGUGACUGUUCAACUACAAAGCUAAGGUGCUGCUUGUGAGGAAGUAUCUGUACCUAUGAAAAAAGGCUCUGCUACUCCAGUUUCAUCCUACAGACCCUGAUUGCCUUAAACUAUUCUUUUUCAACAGCUGUAAGAAGUUAUGAUGCGAAAGGUAUUGUGAACAUUUCUUUAAAGAUUGGCACAACAAUCCAUCUCUUAAGGGUCCCGUAUUGUAUGAACACCUUUAAGUAUUCCACCAUCAAGCAAACACAUAAAACUAUGUAUCAUGGUAUUUCUAGCUGACAGUUGUUGCAUGCCUUCCUGUUUUUAAUGCAUUUAAGGACUCUUGCUGAGACAAGUGGGGAGUUAUGAGUUGAGCUGAGUUUAAGGGGUCUGCGAUCAGGAGGCAGAUUGAGCCACAGCAGUGCCUAGAUACUGUGAUGUUUUUUCUCACUUUCUUUCACUCGUAGAAUAAGUAUUUAGGAAUGAGUAUACCCUGAUGGACAAUAUUUGGGAAUAUGUACUGCUGAUGGAUGUAAGUCUACUUGUUCACUUGGUUAAAAUAUAUAUCUUAUAUCUGUGUAUAAACACAAGGUAACUUUGGAGCUUUCAGUAGAAUUACUCCAGAGGAGCCUCACUCCAAAUCCUGUCACAUCCCUAGAUACUUCUUAAGGUUGUCCUAGAUCUUGUCUCCUAACCAGUCCAGGGACUUGCUGCUAUGCCCAUCUGACCAUGCAUUAGGUUUCUGUGGACAGAAGCCCGUGGAAGUAAAAGGCUGACCUCAGCAUGGAGUUAAGAUGCAGUCAAGACCAAGGAGCCCAGAAGAACUCAAACAUCUCCUAGUUUACGUAUAGGCGAGGUCCCCUGUGCAGAUGGCAGGUAAAGAGAGGAAAUCUGUAGGUCAUAAAUCUGUAUUUACUUGGCUGAAUAAAGAACCUGAUUGUUGGAGAUUUAAAAACAAACAAAAUCCCAACAACUGUAUCUUCACAUUAGAGAAACAAGCAUUAUUUUAUGGGACGUCCAUAAGUAAGCGAGGUGCCUUCGGGUACUUGGCUUGGGCAUGCAGUGUGAUUGACUGUUUGACCCAGAGACGUUUGGUCUGUUUUUUAACCAUGAAGAAAUUACUUCUAGUAACAUUUCCCAAACAGUACUAAUGCCAAUAGUACAUACUUCUUAGCUGAUAUGUUGAAAGAAAUUAACACAACAUUUCCAUUCUUGAGUUAUUGAAGUCACCGAGUUAUUAAAGCACAGAAAAUACCUGAAACUGAAACCAGAAAAGUGAGAUUUUUCCACACUUAAAAAAAACAAGACUGCCCAUGAACAGAACCUUUCAUACCAAAACACACUCCCACAGCUUCUGAAACUAUAAAAGAAACAAAAGAAGAGGAAAAGAAAGGGAAUUUUACUGUAACUGGGAGCAAUGGCAGAUUUUUAAGAGUAAGGAAUAAGUAUGGAUGCUGACAGUGGUUCUUAAUGUCUGAGGAUGAGUUUUUGUUUAGGCAUGAAUAACUGAAGAUGCAGGAGAAAUUCUCUUAAUGGGAGGAGAAGUAAUGCUGGAGAAGCGGUCUGAAUUUAUUUCACGCAAUACUUUUUUAAUAACAGUGUCGAUUAAAGACACCUGCUGAAGGUCUGUAAUGCUGGUUUACUGGGGAGAAAAAAUAACAAAGUUCUUUAGCCAUCCUGUCUUCGGUUCAAUAUUAUGGACUGUUAAAAGGGGGUUUAUGUGUGCAGUGUUAUUAACCGAGAUUCUGCUCAAAUUGAAGUCAGGCCCACAAACCUUGCUUUCUAUAGGACCUUGCUAGGUUUCUAAAAGAAUUUAAAACUGUACAAGAUAAUUAGUACGUUCUUGCUAUAUUUAGGAUAUUUUAAAGGCAGUCAGUCUUGGUAGAUAUGUUUCUGAACACUUGUGCUCUCUCUUAUCACAUGUGAUUUCUUUCUAGUGAGGUUAAAGUGCAACAAAAAUGGACCAAUGUCCUGUAUGAAGUCAUUACUAUUACUAGAGAGAAGAAGAAAAUCUACCUCCAAAGUGACCAAAGUAUAACUUGUAAUAGAACACCCAAUAUUUUCUGCUGGUUUUGUCAAGGCUAGAAGAUAUGGGCUCAGUUAUGAGACACGUUGCGGCAGAUGGCGAUGGGGACGGAACCCCGAAGACUGUGGCCUGGAAAAGAAAUUGAAGUCUGAGUUUAUAGCGAGCGCAAUGUUGUCUAACUAUGUUUAAUAUCGCCAUUUGUUUAAGCUUAAAUUAUGACGAUGAAGAUAAAGUAAUAACACACUGCGUUUUCAUCACUUGAGUUUGGAGAGGCCUCGUCUUUUUCCGUGCCUGUAGUCCUGAUGAUGAUUCCUUUGGCAGCUCUGCCGGCGAUAAGAGGAAUAACUCACCGCUGUCAGGGAAGCUGGCUGUUUCAUCACUGACAUGAGAGCCCGGCGUAACUCCAUGGUGAUCGCUGUCUAAAUGACUUAUUUUAGGAGGUGUUCCUUCAUGGAAAAGUGGGACGUGUGGUCUUCCUCAGUGUCCAGAAACAGACUGCUGUGUUGCACAGAAUCAAAAAACUAACAGAAUUUGUGGCAACAGGUGAAGCAGGGUUUCAGCUCCACCCUUCCCCACACGCAGGGAGUGCUUCAGAUGGAAAGCAGCCUGCUGUGUACCCCUGUGAGCAGUACUGGGAGCACCUCCUGUGGGUGUGGACACACCGUGCA